Molecule: long non-coding RNA, 420 nt
Organism: Lagenorhynchus albirostris (white-beaked dolphin)
Lineage: Eukaryota; Metazoa; Chordata; Mammalia; Artiodactyla; Delphinidae
Exons: 3
Source: RefSeq, a predicted model, not a curated record
AGAGAGCUGCCGUGUCUUUAAGACACGCAAACAGCCCUGUGGCGAGGCCCAGGAGGUGAGGAGCUGAGGCCUCACUCCCAGAGCUGCCAUCAACUUCUCAGCAACAUCAAGAGAUCCCCAAACAGCACUGCCCAGUCAAGCUGUUCCUGAAUUCCUGACCCACAGAAACUAGGUUUCUUCCUUCCUUACCAAUAAGACGUCCUACAAAGUUAUUAUGGGCUAAAAUCUUCAAGGGAAUCUCUUCUGUGCUGUAAAGAAAGAAAAAAACAAAGCAAAAAAAAGGGCCAUCAAAUCAGGGCCUGCGAGCAUGUUAAUGGAUGAAAUCAAGUGCUGGCAAGAGGAUGCGCAUCUGGGCAUGGCCACCCUUCUGGUUCGGUGCAGAGUACAGAGCAAACCGCCAGGACCUAUCAGAGCUGAGCU